Molecule: non-coding RNA, 23 nt
Filed under: Gallus gallus (chicken)
Lineage: Eukaryota; Metazoa; Chordata; Aves; Galliformes; Phasianidae
Also listed under: 1 other name
Source: RNAcentral
UACGUAGCAGAGCAGCUCCCUCG